This 2082-nucleotide ribosomal RNA is filed under the name Salmonella enterica. RNAcentral's name for it is "partial 23S ribosomal RNA". It matches the Rfam family "Bacterial large subunit ribosomal RNA", at positions 739 to 2802 of the family's 2925-position model. Lineage: Bacteria; Pseudomonadati; Pseudomonadota; Gammaproteobacteria; Enterobacterales; Enterobacteriaceae. The record is from RNAcentral. RNAcentral also lists the same sequence under 1 other name.
GGCAGGUUGAAGGUUGGGUAACACUAACUGGAGGACCGAACCGACUAAUGUUGAAAAAUUAGCGGAUGACCUGUGGCUGGGGGUGAAAGGCCAAUCAAACCGGGAGAUAGCUGGUUCUCCCCGAAAGCUAUUUAGGUAGCGCCUCGUGAAUUCAUCUCCGGGGGUAGAGCACUGUUUCGGCUAGGGGGCCAUCCCGGCUUACCAACCCGAUGCAAACUGCGAAUACCGGAGAAUGUUAUCACGGGAGACACACGGCGGGUGCUAACGUCCGUCGUGAAGAGGGAAACAACCCAGACCGCCAGCUAAGGUCCCAAAGUCAUGGUUAAGUGGGAAACGAUGUGGGAAGGCCCAGACAGCCAGGAUGUUGGCUUAGAAGCAGCCAUCAUUUAAAGAAAGCGUAAUAGCUCACUGGUCGAGUCGGCCUGCGCGGAAGAUGUAACGGGGCUAAACCAUGCACCGAAGCUGCGGCAGCGACACUGUGUGUUGUUGGGUAGGGGAGCGUUCUGUAAGCCUGUGAAGGUGUGUCGUGAGGCAUGCUGGAGGUAUCAGAAGUGCGAAUGCUGACAUAAGUAACGAUAAAGCGGGUGAAAAGCCCGCUCGCCGGAAGACCAAGGGUUCCUGUCCAACGUUAAUCGGGGCAGGGUGAGUCGACCCCUAAGGCGAGGCCGAAAGGCGUAGUCGAUGGGAAACGGGUUAAUAUUCCCGUACUUGGUGUUACUGCGAAGGGGGGACGGAGAAGGCUAUGUUGGCCGGGCGACGGUUGUCCCGGUUUAAGCGUGUAGGUGUGUGUUCCAGGUAAAUCCGGUUCACUUUAACACUGAGGCGUGACGACGAGGCACUACGGUGCUGAAGCAACAAAUGCCCUGCUUCCAGGAAAAGCCUCUAAGCAUCAGGUAACAUCAAAUCGUACCCCAAACCGACACAGGUGGUCAGGUAGAGAAUACCAAGGCGCUUGAGAGAACUCGGGUGAAGGAACUAGGCAAAAUGGUGCCGUAACUUCGGGAGAAGGCACGCUGACACGUAGGUGAAGUGAUUUACUCAUGGAGCUGAAGUCAGUCGAAGAUACCAGCUGGCUGCAACUGUUUAUUAAAAACACAGCACUGUGCAAACACGAAAGUGGACGUAUACGGUGUGACGCCUGCCCGGUGCCGGAAGGUUAAUUGAUGGGGUCAGCGCAAGCGAAGCUCCUGAUCGAAGCCCCGGUAAACGGCGGCCGUAACUAUAACGGUCCUAAGGUAGCGAAAUUCCUUGUCGGGUAAGUUCCGACCUGCACGAAUGGCGUAAUGAUGGCCAGGCUGUCUCCACCCGAGACUCAGUGAAAUUGAACUCGCUGUGAAGAUGCAGUGUACCCGCGGCAAGACGGAAAGACCCCGUGAACCUUUACUAUAGCUUGACACUGAACAUUGAGCCUUGAUGUGUAGGAUAGGUGGGAGGCUUUGAAGUGUGGACGCCAGUCUGCAUGGAGCCGACCUUGAAAUACCACCCUUUAAUGUUUGAUGUUCUAACGUGGACCCGUUACCCGGGUUGCGGACAGUGUCUGGUGGGUAGUUUGACUGGGGCGGUCUCCUCCUAAAGAGUAACGGAGGAGCACGAAGGUUGGCUAAUCCUGGUCGGACAUCAGGAGGUUAGUGCAAUGGCAUAAGCCAGCUUGACUGCGAGCGUGACGGCGCGAGCAGGUGCGAAAGCAGGUCAUAGUGAUCCGGUGGUUCUGAAUGGAAGGGCCAUCGCUCAACGGAUAAAAGGUACUCCGGGGAUAACAGGCUGAUACCGCCCAAGAGUUCAUAUCGACGGCGGUGUUUGGCACCUCGAUGUCGGCUCAUCACAUCCUGGGGCUGAAGUAGGUCCCAAGGGUAUGGCUGUUCGCCAUUUAAAGUGGUACGCGAGCUGGGUUUAGAACGUCGUGAGACAGUUCGGUCCCUAUCUGCCGUGGGCGCUGGAGAACUGAGGGGGGCUGCUCCUAGUACGAGAGGACCGGAGUGGACGCAUCACUGGUGUUCGGGUUGUCAUGCCAAUGGCACUGCCCGGUAGCUAAAUGCGGAAGAGAUAAGUGCUGAAAGCAUCUAAGCACGAAACUUGCCCCGA